GGGAGGAAAGACCAGAAGUUCUGUUUUGGACAGUUUGAGUUUAAGGAAGUGAGCAGCCAUCCAGUUGUAAAUCGCGGAGAGGCAGUUAGAGACACAAGUGAAGAUGGGCAAAGAGAGAUCAGGAGAGGACUGGUAGAUUUGUGUGUCAUCUGCCUAUAAAUGAUAAUGGAAGCCAAAGGAGCUGAUUAGUUUAGCAAGGGAGGCAGUAUAGAUAGAGAACAAGGGACCAAAGACAAAACCUUGGGGAACGCCAACAGAGAAGGGUUGGGGAGAAGAGGCAGAGUCAGAGAAAGAAAUACUGAAAAACGAUUGGAGAGGUAGGAGGAGCACCAGAAGAGAGCACUAUCCUGUAGACCGAGAUUAUGGAGAAUGAGAAGAAGCUGUUGAUGAUCAACAGUGUCGAAGGCAGCAGAAAGAUCAAGGAGAAUUAGGAUAGAGUAAUGGCCGCGAGAUUUAGCAGCGAUUAAAUUGUUGGAUACAUUGGUCACAGCUGUUUCAACAGAGUGACGAACGCGGAAUUCAGACUGAAGCAGGUCAAGCAGAGAGUAGGAUUCGAGGAAGUC
Pelobates cultripes (western spadefoot toad) is the source of this 563-nucleotide non-coding RNA. Lineage: Eukaryota; Metazoa; Chordata; Amphibia; Anura; Pelobatidae. The record is from the annotation of a GenBank genome assembly.